RNAcentral lists this ribosomal RNA (253 nucleotides) under uncultured bacterium. Its description in RNAcentral is "partial 16S ribosomal RNA". It matches the Rfam family "Bacterial small subunit ribosomal RNA", at positions 524 to 776 of the family's 1533-position model. The record is from RNAcentral.
UACGAAGGGAGCUAGCGUUGUUCGGAAUUACUGGGCGUAAAGGGCGCGUAGGCGGUCUUAUAAGUUUGGUGUGAAAGCCCUGGGCUUAACCUAGGAAUAGCAUUGGAUACUGUAAGACUUGAGACCGAGAGAGGAAAAUGGAAUUGCGAGUGUAGAGGUGAAAUUCGUAGAUAUUUGCAAGAACACCAGUGGCGAAGGCGAUUUUCUGGCUCGGUACUGACGCUAAGGCGCGAAAGCGUGGGGAGCAAACAGG